RNAcentral lists this unclassified non-coding RNA (500 nucleotides) under uncultured Glomus. Its description in RNAcentral is "SSU rRNA". It matches the Rfam family "Eukaryotic small subunit ribosomal RNA", at positions 569 to 1073 of the family's 1831-position model. The record is from RNAcentral. Lineage: Eukaryota; Fungi; Glomeromycota; Glomeromycetes; Glomerales; Glomeraceae.
CGCAGCCGCGGUAAUUCCAGCUCCAAUAGCGUAUAUUAAAGUUGUUGCAGUUAAAAAGCUCGUAGUUGAAUUUCGGGAUCAAUUAGUCGGUCGUGCCUCUGGUACGUACUGGUUUUAUUGGUUCCUCCCUUCUGACGAAACAUGAUGUCAUUAAUUUGGUGUCGUGGAGAAUCAGGACUGUUACCUUGAAAAAAUUAGAGUGUUUAUAGCAGGCUAACGCUUGAAUACAUUAGCAUGGAAUAAUGAAAUAGGACGUUCGACCCUAUUUUGUUGGUUUCUAGGAUCGACGUAAUGAUUAAUAGGGAUAGUUGGGGGCAUUAGUAUUCAAUUGUCAGAGGUGAAAUUCUUGGAUUUAUUGAAGACUAACUACUGCGAAAGCAUUUGCCAAGGAUGUUUUCAUUAAUCAAGAACGAAAGUUAGGGGAUCGAAGACGAUCAGAUACCGUCGUAGUCUUAACCAUAAACUAUGCCGACUAGGGAUCGGAUGAUGUUAAUUUUUUG